AUGAGCAGUUAUUAAUUUAAAUUAGAUUGUAUAAUUUCGAAAUGUUUAAGCAAAAACAGAAUGGGUUGUCUUCAGUUUUGUAAACUAUACAUAAAAAUAUCUGCAUGGAACUUCAGCAGACGGGCUGAAUGAGACAGAGAUUCACUCUCUGCCUGCAGAGGCAAGAUGAGGCAAGAUGAAAAGAAAAAAUACCAUCGAAACUUUUCUAAAGACAGUAAGUUCUCCUCAGACAUGCAUUCAUAUAAACUCCUACUCCAAAUUGAAUCGCGAUUUGUUUAGCAUCUCAACCAUUUUGAAUCGUUAUAUAUUUGAAUCGAUUUUCAACCGGCUCGCAGUUAAUCGUUACAUCCCUAAUGUUUUGGAUGUGAUUAAUCUUGAUUAAUCAUUUGACAGCACUAUUUUCAAUACACNCAAGAUGAAAAGAAAAAAUACCAUCGAAACUUUUCUAAAGACAGUAGGUUCUCCUCAGACAUGCAUUCAUAUAUAUAUAAAUAUUUGUUGUGCUAUUUGCUUUAAGAAACACACACACACACACACACACACACACACACACACACACACACACACACACACACAGUAUCUGCUUGCGUGGUUAAACUGAUGACUAUCUAUGCACAACAAUUUAAAAGGCAGAAAUCACAUUGACACUUACAUAUGCCUCACCCACAAGCAACACCACACAUGUGACUAGCAUGAAGGUCAGCACUUCAAUCAUUGCACUGAGUUGCAUUUUCUGGAAAGUCUCUGAACUGUUGGUGGAGGUGGUAGUCAGGCCUGGAGAUAAUGCAACUCUUCCCUGUGACAUUGAGAUUGUCAUCGGAGAGGAGAUUCGUUGGGUUAAGAUCUGCUCUUUACAGAUCCAACCGCCUCUGAUCAUCUCUGCAUACAACAGCAUGUUACAACCCAUUCCACGAUUCUCUGUGUUCUGGAACAAUACUUUAAAAUCUUAUGACUUACUGAUCGAGAACAUCACCGAAGCAGACCUUGGUCUCUACUAUUGCUCAAGGGUUGGGAAAAAAUACAUUAAACAGAACGGAAUAAUCUUCGAGAAGGAUGAGUAUCACACUGGUGAUACUCUCUUAAACCUCACAUACGGUUCACCUGUCUCCCCCUCAGAAAGCCCCCCUGAAUUAGAUUGUGACUGCUGGCAGUGCUGGCUGAUACUGCAAACAGUGUGUCCUGCAUGUUCUCUUCUCUCUGCCAUUUUGGCUUUUGUUUGCGGCUACAGAUGCUACCACAAGACAGUGCUGAAGGAGUCUGAAGGUCAUCAAAGUGGUUCUGAGACGCAAAGACAGUUGAGCCAAGAACAGGAUGUCCAUACAGAAGUUUACUAUGCAUCACUGAACAUCCCCAGACGAGGAUGCAAACGGACAAAGAGCAGCCGACUGCAAAGCUCUGACUUCAGUGUAUAUGAUGGCAUAAAAAUGCACACUUAGGUAAAGGAUUAUGUACAUUCAGGUGGUCAAAUACCAAAGUUAAUCCAAGGUUUAUCAAACAUGUUUAUCAAUAUUUUUUUUUUUUUUUUUUUAGAAUAUAAACCGGGGUUUAAAUUAAAAAGACAACAAUGUAAAUAUUAUCCAUAAUUCAUGAUCUGGAGACUGGCAUCUAAUGUGUUGGAAUAUCUCAAACACGGAGCUAACUUCAGUCCCAAUUGUCAUUUGUAUUACAUUUGUUUGUAAUUUAAACAGUUAUUUGACUUUCAUAAUUUAAACAGUUAUUUGACUUUUCAUAGUUUUCAUAAGUGCUUUUGAAAACAGUAUUUCUGUUAUACACAAGUCAAGUGUUUUAUUUUGUAAUCCUCCAAAGAUUACUGAUGGUUUAUAUUUGUUUUCUUCUGUGCAUUACAUGGAAAAUAUUUGACAUCUUUGUUUUGCAAAUGGAACUUCAGAUGCGUGUGGUGGCUUUCAGAUCCCAUUUCACUGACCCCAUUUCAGCUGUUGACUUCCUUCUUAUCAGAUUUGCAGCUUCAGAUGUUUGCAUUAAAAUGCUUUUGAGUGGUCAAUGAAUGUUGUGUGAGAAAACAAUUCUAUAUAUAAUGAUAUAUCUUCAAGAUGAUUACAGUAGUUUAUAUUCAAAGUUUAUUACAUUCAAAGAUAUUAUCUGAAAGAACAGACACAAUAAAGAGCAUACACAAAAAAGAAAGAAUGAAUGA
Cyprinus carpio (common carp) is the source of this 2152-nucleotide long non-coding RNA. NCBI's taxonomy places the organism in Eukaryota, Metazoa, Chordata, Actinopteri, Cypriniformes, Cyprinidae. The record is from Ensembl.